AUUCAGCUGACGAGUCCUAAAUAGGACGAAACGCGAGUCAAACUGGAU
RNAcentral lists this non-coding RNA (48 nucleotides) under Schistosoma curassoni. The record is from RNAcentral. Lineage: Eukaryota; Metazoa; Platyhelminthes; Trematoda; Strigeidida; Schistosomatidae.